AGGGAAUCUUCCGCAAUGGACGAAAGUCUGACGGAGCAACGCCGCGUGAGCGAAGAAGGUCUUCGGAUCGUAAAGCUCUGUUGUUAGGGAAGAACAAGUAUCGGAGGAAAUGCCGGUACCUUGACGGUACCUGACGAGAAAGCCACGGCUAACUACGUGCCAGCAGCCGCGGUAAUACGUAGGUGGCAAGCGUUGUCCGGAAUUAUUGGGCGUAAAGCGCGCGCAGGCGGUCCUUUAAGUCUGAUGUGAAAUCUUGCGGCUCAACCGCAAGCGGUCAUUGGAAACUGGGGGACUUGAGUGCAGAAGAGGAAAGCGGAAUUCCACGUGUAGCGGUGAAAUGCGUAGAGAUGUGGAGGAACACCAGUGGCGAAGGCGGCUUUCUGGUCUGUAACUGACGCUGAGGCGCGAAAGCGUGGGGAGCAAAC
This 425-nucleotide ribosomal RNA is filed under the name uncultured bacterium. Its description in RNAcentral is "bacterial SSU rRNA". It matches the Rfam family "Bacterial small subunit ribosomal RNA", at positions 356 to 773 of the family's 1533-position model. The record is from RNAcentral.